CCUGUCACUCAGCCUAGUUAUAGCCGACCUGCUGUCCACUGUUUCUUCCGAAUGCCUUGGCGUCACGGCUUUCCUCAUUGAUUAUCUGGAGGUGGCUUCCUGGCAUAUUGAAAUUUUUCAAAGAAUGAAACGGAUUGGUUUGGCAGACCUGAAGAGCCUGAAUUAAUUCACUGGUUAGAGCAUUUGAACACUGCCGAAGUAGGACAGCACAGCCAGCAACGUAAAGGAUGCAGUUCAACACUAUAUUCCCAUUGGAUCCUAUAUAGACCAUGCUGGCUGCUGCUGAGAACCUACUUGGUGUGUGUAUAAACCGCUUGACAUAAUGUUUAGGAAUCAGUGUUACAUGUUUCUGUUUGACAAAGAAUUCCCAUGAACAGACCUGGCAAUACAGGAGAGGAAUGCAGUAGCCCCAGCCAUAUUUUGACAGCAAGGCCAUUUCCCCUUCUGAAAACAUCAAGAAGAGACAUAAACACCUGAUCAUCUCUGAGCUGGGAACCUGCAAUAGCCACAAUGUGAAGAAACAAGAGAGAGCCUGAAGAUCAUUAAUGAAAGCAUGAUUUCUUUGAAAAUCUGGUUGUAAAAUGAGAUUAUUA
Long non-coding RNA from Gymnogyps californianus (California condor), 593 nucleotides. RefSeq lists it as uncharacterized. The record is from RefSeq and is a predicted model, not a curated record. NCBI's taxonomy places the organism in Eukaryota, Metazoa, Chordata, Aves, Accipitriformes, Cathartidae. The transcript is spliced from 3 exons.